Molecule: non-coding RNA, 78 nt
Organism: Podarcis lilfordi (Lilford's wall lizard)
Lineage: Eukaryota; Metazoa; Chordata; Lepidosauria; Squamata; Lacertidae
Source: the annotation of a GenBank genome assembly
GAAGAACUGUAACUCAAUUUGUAGAGCACAUUUUGCUUUGAAUGCAAAAGGUCUCUGGUUCAGUCCCUGACAUCUUCA